This 72-nucleotide transfer RNA is filed under the name Chloroflexota bacterium. RNAcentral's name for it is "Chloroflexi bacterium tRNA-Arg". It matches the Rfam family "tRNA". From Rfam's summary of the family: Transfer RNA (tRNA) molecules are approximately 80 nucleotides in length. Lineage: Bacteria; Bacillati; Chloroflexota. The record is from RNAcentral. RNAcentral also lists the same sequence under 3 other names.
GCCCUGAUAGUUCAAUGGACAGAACAAGGCACUCCUAAGGCUUAGAUGCAGGUUCGAUUCCUGCUCAGGGCA